CCCUUAGAUGUCCUGGGCUGCACGCGCGCUACACUGAUGUGUCCAGUAAGCACCUAACCUCUUCCGAAAGGAACGGGUAACCUUUGCAAAGCACAUCGUGAUGGGGAUAGAUUAUUGCAAUUAUUAGUCUUGAACGAGGAAUUCCUAGUAAGCACAAGUCAUCAGCUUGUGUUGAUUACAUCCCUGCCCUUUGUACACACCGCCCGUCGCUCCUACCGAUUGAAUGUUCCGGUGAGCUCUUCGGACUGCGCGGUCUGCAGUUUCUGCGUUCCGUGCGGAAAGUUGCGCAAACCUUAACAUUUAGAGGAAGGAGAAGUCGUAACA
RNAcentral lists this ribosomal RNA (324 nucleotides) under uncultured eukaryote. RNAcentral describes it as "partial 18S ribosomal RNA". It matches the Rfam family "Eukaryotic small subunit ribosomal RNA", at positions 1470 to 1796 of the family's 1831-position model. The record is from RNAcentral.